AUAGAGAAAAGAAUUGUAUACUCCAUGUGGUCCUUUGCUUUAUUGAUGUUGGUAAUUUUUGAAUAACAUAAGGAUUUGGGAAUUUAUAAUUGAAGUAGGUACACCAUAUUUACACUGUUAUUCUCAGUCUAUAGAUGGGCCCACUUUGUUUCCAAAAUCAUAGCAGAGAAUGGAAUUUGAAAACAGAAUUUUUGAGUACAUAUUCAGGAAUAUUUAUAAUGUCCCCUAUGAAGGAAUGUACAAUAGGAAAGUGAAAUACAAUAUUCAUUCAACGAAAGGUGUGUAGGUAAAGUACUGGCCUUUAUAAAAUUAAGAAAACCUAGAAAAUUGAACUGUAUGUCACAGGAAUUGACCUGGGAAUAAAAAUAUUAUCCAGAAGAAUCUCCUCCACUCCAAGUUCCUAAAUAAUUUCUAUCCAUGCCAUGCCCCUGACUCAUUUUCUCCAUUCAGAAGUCACUAGCUUUAGAGAGAUGGAGAACGAAAGUUUCCACUGUGUCACAGGAGACAUACCUAAAUUGGCACCCUCAAACCUGGUUAAUGUAAGGAAAGCUGUUUAGAGUCAGGCCAUGGCAGUUCUCAGUGACAAUAUCAUUAGGCUCUCCCUGAAAAAUCUCUUGUAUCCUUGAGAGCACUAGCUUCUUCUGUGAUGUAAUAAGUGUUGUCCUGACUGCAAAUGCCUCUCAGAUAUUACUUCAGUACCUAUAGGUUUUACUAAUUGGCCUCAAAUUCAGGGGAAACAGUCAUUAGGGAGGGAGAACAAAGACGAUGAAGAAAUCAGAGAUGGGGAGAACGAAGCUGGUCUUCUGUCUUGGUAUAAAAGAAGGAAGAAAUACAUCAUCCCUGAGAAAUCUCACUGAAGCCUUGGUAGGAGUGGAAUAUGAAAAAUAGUCCUGAGGAAGGAGGGACAACAAGUAUUGUAUCGUCAUGUCAUCUCAAGAAAAACUCUCAAAACUCAUCCUGGCUGACAAUGUAGAUUAGACGCAUCAGAUGAAAUGAAUUGAAAAACUCUCCUGGGAAUGAAAGUGGUAAGGAAAUCACAUUGAUGUAUCCUAAAUGCAGUGCUAAGAGCAAUAUUCAGACUAGUCUGUGGAGAUGCUGCUGUCAUCAGAGACCACAGACAAUUAGUGGAGAAUGAUUCAGCAUUAAACUGGGAAUGGAAGAUGAUGGUUGAUAUUGUUCUAGUAGAUCUCACUACAUUAAAAAGUGUUUCUUCCAGAUAACUGAAUGAUUAUUGUAAAGCAAAUCCCGGAAUGAACUUAUGAGACCCACCAUCAGCCUGUCAAAUAAUGUGCGAAAGAAGAAAUCUGUGUCUCUCCAGGGACAAAUUGUUGCUUUCAAACCAACAGUAAAGUGUCCAUUCUA
Molecule: long non-coding RNA, 1362 nt
Organism: Rattus norvegicus (Norway rat)
Lineage: Eukaryota; Metazoa; Chordata; Mammalia; Rodentia; Muridae
Source: RefSeq, a predicted model, not a curated record